AGUGAACGCUGGCGGUAGGCCUAACACAUGCAAGUCGAACGGCAGCACAGUAAGCGCUUUCUCUUACGGUUGGCGAGUGGCGGACGGGUGAGGAAUACAUCGGAAUCUACUUUUUCGUGGGUGAUAACGUGGGGAAACUUACGCUAAUACCGCAUACGACCUACGGGUGAAAGCAGGGGAUCUUCGGACCUUGCGCGAUUGAAUGAGCCGAUGUCGGAUUAGCUAGUUGGCGGGGUAAGGGCACACCAAGGCGACGAUGCGUAGCUGGUCUGAGAGGAUGAUCAGCCACACUGGAACUGAGACACGGUCCAGACUCCUACGGGAGGCAGCAGUGGGGAAUAUUCGACAAUGGGCGCAAGCCUGACCCAGCCAUACCGCGUGGGUGAAGAAGGCCUUCGGGUUGUAAAGCCCUUUUGUUGGGAAAGAAAAGCAGCAGGUUAAUACCCGGCCGUUUUGACGGUACCCAAAGAAUAAGCACCGGCUAACUUCGUG
RNAcentral lists this ribosomal RNA (492 nucleotides) under uncultured bacterium. RNAcentral's name for it is "partial 16S ribosomal RNA". It matches the Rfam family "Bacterial small subunit ribosomal RNA", at positions 29 to 507 of the family's 1533-position model. The record is from RNAcentral.